RNAcentral lists this ribosomal RNA (459 nucleotides) under uncultured bacterium. RNAcentral describes it as "partial 16S ribosomal RNA". It matches the Rfam family "Bacterial small subunit ribosomal RNA", at positions 338 to 795 of the family's 1533-position model. The record is from RNAcentral.
CCUACGGGAGGCAGCAGUGAGGAAUAUUGGUCAAUGCGCGUAAGCCUGAACCAGCCAAGUAGCGUGCGGGAUGAAGACCCUACGGGUCGUAAACCUCUUUUGCACGGGGAUAACACCCUCCACUUGUGGAGGUCUGCAUGUACCGUGCGAAUAAGGGCCGGCUAAUUCCGUGCCAGCAGCCGCGGUAAUACGGAAGGUCCGAGCGUUAUCCGGAUUCAUUGGGCUUAAAGGGAGCGUAGGCGGGCGUUCAAGUCAGCUGUAAAAUCGCGCGGCUCAACCGCGCCCCGCGGUUGAAACUGGAAGCCUUGAGUGCACAACAGGCAGGCGGAAUUCGUGGUGUAGCGGUGAAAUGCAUAGAUAUCACGAGGAACCCCGAUUGCGAAGGCAGCCUGCCGGGGUGCGACUGACGCUGAGGCUCGAAGGUGCGGGUAUCAAACAGGAUUAGAUACCCGGGUAGUC